AUUGAACGCUGGCGGCAUGCCUUACACAUGCAAGUCGAACGGCAGCACGGGUGCUUGCACCUGGUGGCGAGUGGCGAACGGGUGAGUAAUACAUCGGAACAUGUCCUGUAGUGGGGGAUAGCCCGGCGAAAGCCGGAUUAAUACCGCAUACGAACCACGGAUGCAAGCGGGGGACCUUCGGGUCUCGCGCUAUAGGGUUGGCCGAUGGCUGAUUAGCUAGUUGGUGGGGUAAAGGCCUACCAAGGCGACGAUCAGUAGCUGGUCUGAGAGGACGACCAGCCACACUGGGACUGAGACACGGCCCAGACUCCUACGGGAGGCAGCAGUGGGGAAUUUUGGACAAUGGGCGAAAGCCUGAUCCAGCAAUGCCGCGUGUGUGAAGAAGGCCUUCGGGUUGUAAAGCACUUUUGUCCGGAAAGAAAUCCUUGACUCUAAUACAGUCGGGGGAUGACGGUACCGGAAGAAUAAGCACCGGCUAACUACGUG
This 486-nucleotide ribosomal RNA is filed under the name uncultured bacterium. Its description in RNAcentral is "partial 16S ribosomal RNA". It matches the Rfam family "Bacterial small subunit ribosomal RNA", at positions 30 to 507 of the family's 1533-position model. The record is from RNAcentral.